CCUUAACCUCAUGUUCUUACUAUGUUACAAAGUGUAAAAACACCAAAUCCAAAGCAAGAGGCAAGGACACGGGUGCAUAACUGGGGAGCAGAGAAAAAGGAGAAGCAGGCGUUGCCAUGAUUUGAUUUCCUGAGAAGAGGGAAAGAUGUGUUGCUCCCCGGGAGUCCCUCAUCUGAGAAGCAUGGCUCUUCCUAACCUAAAACGCCCUCAUGACCUCAUAAGACGCCACUGAACUCAUGCGGGUGGCUGUUUAGUGAUUAAUCAUCCCAGGUGAUGGGGACCCCACACUACUACUAAUGACGAUGAUGACAGAUGACGCUUAUUGGACGUGUCAGGCAUUGUUCUAGGACUUUACCUUUAUUAAUUGAUUAAUCCUCCAACACAACUCUGUGAGGUCUGUGGGGCAGCUGGGGCAGCUCUGCUCUGGGCCACAGAUUGAGUUCGGGUCUACUCUACGUCUCUCCCAUUUUCCUUGGAUCAGCAGCUACCCAGGACAGUUCUUCUUGUGGUAGAGAACAGAAGCACAAGAGGCCAAGGCAAACUACAGAAGCAUGUAUACAGUCUCUGCUCGUGUCCUGUCCACUGACAUUUUAUUGGCCAAAAUAAGUCAUAUGCCAAGUCCAGCAGCAGUGGAUGGGGAAAUAUACUCUGAUCUCUCCAGUGGGAGGCACUGUAGAGCAACCUGGCAAAGACUGGAUGCAUUCCAAGGUGGUAGAGAAGAAUCGGGAUCAUCCAUUCCCAUCACAAACUCCCUCCAUUUUGAUAUUGCCCUUCUCUUUCACAAAAAGGAGAAAAUAACUAUAUAAAAAGGCCAUUUCAAAGAUUUCUGCACAAAUUUUCUAAAAGCUAUUUCCAGAAGUUACCAGAAUUGGUAAGAUUUCAUCCCAUCUCCUCCCUGUAGGUCCAGUUUCAUGGGACUUGUGCAGGAGCACAGGGCCCCACCCUCAGAAAGACCCUGUGCAUGGUUUAACACUCUGCUGUCACCGUCGUGACGUUCUUAAUAAUUUUUGCACAAGGGGCCCAGCGUUUUCAUUUUGCACUGGCCCCCACAAAUUAUGUAGCCAGUCCUGCCUACACAUGCUAUAUUUAUUGUCCCAGAGAUGAGAAUUAAUGCUCAGAAUGGCAACCCUGAGACCUACAGAUUCCAGAAUGACCCAAAAUUCAAUUACAAUUACCAUGUUCUUUCAUUUGUUCAACAUGUUUAUUGGGUGCUGUUAUAAUUCUAGCUUUUAGAGGUAAAACCAUGAACUAACUAGCCCAGAACUCACGGAGUUUACAUCGUGCCAUACUUCCUGUGGUCCACCCACUGGACAGAUGACUUUUAUUUACAGCUACUAAGGGGAAAUCAGAUGAAGAGACUCAUAGCAGAGUGUGCCAGUGAUGACGGAUGUUGGGGCCACAGGCAACCCCAGGAGUCAGCGGAACUCUGUCGAUCCCGAUCUCUUCUCCUCAAGGAAGCAAAUCAGAAUGCAAGUGGCUGUGAUGACAUCAACCACUACAAGGGGAAGAAAAAGAAACAACAGGAAAUUCUGCGUUCAGCUAUUAACUGAUAAAUGAAGGAGGAACUGGCUUUUAAAGUCUUCAACUGAUUGGAUGAGGCCCACCCACACUAUGGAAGCUGAGUCCAGGCCAUGAGAAAUCCAAGAUGAAGGCAGAGAGCUGCUUCUUUGGAUGACCAAAGGGGGUUACCGAAGUGGAGAACAGAAUCUGUGGUGGCGUAUGGAACGGCCGUCAUUCAUUCACCCGACAAUGAUGUAUUGAAGGCUUAGUAUGGCAAGAACUAGGCUAACCAGGCACUGGUGGGUAAAAUAGAGAGAUAAGCAGCCCUCCCAGAGCUUGCUGCCGAGUGAGAAGCAAACAUGAAACAAUCAAUCACGCCCAUAAGUGUAAAACUGCAGUCUCGGUAAGAGAUGCGGCAGCAAGAACACAGAGCUGGACCACCUAUAAGGGAUUUACCUUAAUGGGGAAGGUAGGCAGCUGUUGCUGGAGUUUAGAUCUGAAGGAUACGCUGGGCAAGAGGGAAGGAAGUGUGUUCCUGGCAGAGGGAGCAGCAUAAACACAGGGGCUGCAGUCAGAGAAGGGGGGAGUGUGCAAGACGACUCCAGAAAAAUGAUCAGGCCAUGCAGGGUUUGGGUCUUCAUCCUAAAUGGGUCUUUAGGCUGUUAAAGCCCCUAUUACUUGACAAUUCCACUCUUAGGCAUUUACCCAAGAGAAAUGAAAACUUAUGUCCCCAAAAGACUUAACACGAAUAUUCAUAGCAGCCUUAAAAUAGCCUAAAACUGGAAAUAAUACAAAUGUCCAUCAACAAGAGAAUGGAUAAAUAAAUUACAGUAUAUUCAUACUCAAUUGAAAGGAAUGAACACACAACAACACAGAAUACUCUCAAAAAGAUUAUGCUGAGUAAAAUAGCCAGACAUAAAAACAUCUAUACUGUAUAUUUGUAUGAAAUCCAAAACCAGGCAAAACUAAUCUAUGGCGAUAAAAAUCAGAAAGUGGCUGGUUCUGGGUGUGGGGGCCAGGCAGGGGGUGACAUGACUGGAAAAGGGG
RNAcentral lists this long non-coding RNA (2547 nucleotides) under Equus asinus (donkey). RNAcentral's name for it is "lncRNA (ENSEASG00005037886.1)". The record is from RNAcentral. Lineage: Eukaryota; Metazoa; Chordata; Mammalia; Perissodactyla; Equidae.